Molecule: long non-coding RNA, 840 nt
Organism: Sorghum bicolor (sorghum)
Lineage: Eukaryota; Viridiplantae; Streptophyta; Magnoliopsida; Poales; Poaceae
Exons: 2
Source: RefSeq, a predicted model, not a curated record
CGACGUCUAGAUAGGACUCCGAGUCGACGUUGGCUUCGAGGUACUCGACUCCAUUCCGAGCUCGCGAUGGGGGAGGCAGAUCGAGUCUUCAGAUCCCGUACGCGCUCGCCGCCGCCGCCACAAUUCCUCCCGCGCGCCAGGCCACUCCCGCGCGAGCCAUCUCCUGCGUGAUGCUUCCCCGCCAAAUCGCUGCGCACGCGAGCUCCUGCGGAAGCCAACUUCCCCGCCAAAUCGCUGCCGCUGCCUCCAUCUCACAAACGGGAAUACAAAUCGAGCACCUCCAGACUCCACACCACACCAGCAGGGAAUGGCUAGGAACGGAGAAGAGGACGUCCGGUGAUCUCUGUGCCAGGUUCGUCAGCCAGCUAUACAAAGGGAUCCCAGGAUGAACAGAUUAAAGAAGUCUAGUUUCCGGCGAGGCAGUGGUGGCCGUGGAACCCGACCUCCGUCUGUCCAUGGUCCUAUGACCUUUGUUCCGGCUGUAGGUGCAUCUGCAACUCAGAGCCAUGCCACUGACGGUGCUGCUGCAGUAGGUGUUGCUGUUCCUGUCAAUACUCCUGCAGUCAGUGCUUCUCCCUUUGGUGGAUGGUGGCCAAUGUCAGCUCCUAGCGAAGGGUAAGUCAUCAGAGCUUGGUUCUAUGGAUUACAGAUUGUUUUUGUGAAUAUCAUUGAUAUACAAUUUAGUCACAACUUCUUUGUUAACAUGAUGAAUUGCGUAGAUGCCAUCUAUGAACAUAUAUGUGCAGAAUCAAAUGUUAAGUGUAUGGUGGAUCACACAGUGAUAUGCCACAACAGAUCAGUUUGUUUUGUGCUGCAUAAUAAAUGUUUUUACGGGUAGAA